CCAUGCCGCGUGAACGAAGAAGGUCUUCGGAUCGUAAAGUUCUGUUGUUAGGGAAGAACAAGUGCCGUUCAAACAGGGCGGUACCUUGACGGUACCUAUCGAGGAAGCCCCGGCUAACUACGUGCCAGCAGCCGCGGUAAUACGUAGGGGGCAAGCGUUGUCCGGAAUUAUUGGGCGUAAAGGGCGCGCAGGCGGUUCCUUAAGUCUGAUGUGAAAUCUCGUGGCUCAACCAUGAGCGGUCAUUGGAAACUGGGGAACUUGAGUACAGAAGAGGAGAGCGGAAUUCCACGUGUAGCGGUGAAAUGCGUAGAUAUGUGGAGGAACACCAGUGGCGAAGGCGGCUCUCUGGUCUGUGACUGACGCUGAGGCGCGAAAGCGUGGGGAGCGAACAGGAUUAGAUACCCUGGUAGUCCACGCCGUAAACGUUGAGUGCUAGGUGUUAGGGGGUAUCCGCCCCUUAGUGCUGCAGUUAACGCAUUAAGCACUCCGCCUGGGGAGUACGGCCGCAAGGCUGAAACUCAAAAGAAUUGACGGGGGCCCGCACAAGCGGUGGAGCAUGUGGUUUAAUUCGAAGCAACGCGAAGAACCUUACCAGGUCUUGACAUCUUCGGACGGCCCUAGAGAUAGGGCGUUCCCUUCGGGGACCGAAUGACAGGUGGUGCAUGGUUGUCGUCAGCUCGUGUCGUGAGAUGUUGGGUUAAGUCCCGCAACGAGCGCAACCCUUAAUCUUAGUUGCCAGCAUUGAGUUGGGCACUCUAAGGUGACUGCCGGUGACAAACCGGAGGAAGGUGGGGAUGACGUCAAAUCAUCAUGCCCCUUAUGACCUGGGCUACACACGUGCUACAAUGGAUGGUACAAAGGGCAGCUAAGCGGUGACGCCAAGCAAAUCCCAGAAAACCAUUCUCAGUCCGGAUUGCAGGCUGCAACUCGCCUGCAUGAAGCCGGAAUCGCUAGUAAUCGCGGAUCAGCAUGCCGCGGUGAAUACGUUCCCGGGCCUUGUACACACCGCCCGUCACACCACGAGAGUUGGCAACACCCGAAGUCGGUAGGGUAACCUUUUGGAGCCAGCCGCCGAAGGUGGGGCCAAUGAUUGGGGUGAAGUCGUAACAAGGUAGCCGUAUCGGAAGGUGCGGCU
This 1135-nucleotide ribosomal RNA is filed under the name halophilic bacterium 8spe422-1135. RNAcentral describes it as "bacterial SSU rRNA". It matches the Rfam family "Bacterial small subunit ribosomal RNA", at positions 392 to 1519 of the family's 1533-position model. The record is from RNAcentral.